UACGUAGGGGGCUAGCGUUAUCCGGAAUUACUGGGCGUAAAGGGUGCGUAGGCGGUCUUUCAAGCCAGAAGUGAAAGGCUACGGCUCAACCGUAGUAAGCUCUUGAAACUGUGAGACUUGAGUGCAGGAGAGGAGAGUGGAAUUCCUAGUGUAGCGGUGAAAUGCGUAGAUAUUAGGAGGAACACCAGUUGCGAAGGCGGCUCUCUGGACUGUAACUGACGCUGAGGCACGAAAGCGUGGGGAGCAAACAGGACUAGAUACCCUGGUA
Molecule: ribosomal RNA, 268 nt
Filed under: uncultured prokaryote
Description: partial 16S ribosomal RNA
Rfam family: Bacterial small subunit ribosomal RNA
Source: RNAcentral